GAUCGGAAAGCAAGUCCGCGCACGACCGA
This 29-nucleotide small RNA is filed under the name Bombyx mori (domestic silkworm). Its description in RNAcentral is "ovarian small RNA-16123". Lineage: Eukaryota; Metazoa; Arthropoda; Insecta; Lepidoptera; Bombycidae. The record is from RNAcentral.